CACACCAAGAGAAGACACGAGCACAAAUAUGGGAGUGAACAUCGCUGAAUAUAAAAAGUCUGGUGUACAAUAGUUAAUAAAUCAGCAUGGACCCUACCAACAAAGGAAGAAGCUGUGCAAGGUCUCUGCCCACCUUUUCCAUGGUCAGGGUCCAUCAUAACCUCUGUUAGGAGAAUCUGGUUGUGCAAUGGAGCAUCCGAAGCUGUCCGUCCCUGGCUCUCUGUACAGUCCAAUAAUAACCUUAACAUUAGAAGAAACUUUAGAAAAUUUCCACUGAGUCAUGAGUCAACUAAAUAACAAAACAAGAUGCCCCUGUGCAUUUUGGGGAGCUUCAUCUAUGGCCAUUCAUGUUUCUGACCCACAUCUCUGAUUAAAAAAAAAAAGACAAAAUACUGAUAUGCAAAGGUUGCCUACACCUGUGAAAACUAAUUUGCUUGCAAAGUGUUACAGCUAUAGAUUUUUUUCCCUUUCCCUCAAAUAAUUUUCUUUGCUUUUUGUUAUGAACCCACCCUAGUCAAUGGAAGCAUC
RNAcentral lists this long non-coding RNA (528 nucleotides) under Pogona vitticeps (central bearded dragon). RNAcentral describes it as "lncRNA (ENSPVIG00000008307.1)". Lineage: Eukaryota; Metazoa; Chordata; Lepidosauria; Squamata; Agamidae. The record is from RNAcentral.